This 631-nucleotide ribosomal RNA is filed under the name uncultured Bacillota bacterium. Its description in RNAcentral is "uncultured Firmicutes bacterium partial 16S ribosomal RNA". The record is from RNAcentral. Lineage: Bacteria; Bacillati; Bacillota.
CGAUCAACCACCCCAUUGCCGGAUGGUUCCGCUGCUACGCAUCGGCUGGACUCUCCCACUAGCCGGUGUGACCCUGACUCUGUGCCGGGUCUGAGGAUGCCCUCCGUCGUCAUCCCUUAGAAGGCGUUACCUGCUUUCAGACUGCCUCGUUGCGGCGCACUUGCUACUUCCAAAAGCCUAGCAUUUCAAGACAACAAUCCCUUCUUGGCGGCCCUACUGGAGGGCCAGACUGCCAUGGAUUGCUCUUUCGGGGCCGAUUGAUGCACGGUCGUCGGCGCCAUUAUGCAUCCCCCGUUCGCAACAGGCCUUAAUAACCCGCAUUUCGCGCGCGUCCGCCGAAGAAUUCAGUCCACACUUUCGGGUGCCGAGUUGGCACCUCCCGGUGAACUUUGACCCUUCGAACUCACGUCCUCUCCUCUCGCCUUAAGGUGCACAUCGCCACUUUACGCAUCUCUACACCUCCUUGUGGGCACCGCUUCCGCCGAGAGACCGGACAUUGACUGCGACUCCGCGCUUUCGCACCCCUCGCUUGUCCUAAUCUAUGGGACCAUCAGGUGCGGCAUUUGCAACUCACGAUCCACAACCCCCACUGGUUAGGAGUCACGGCGUCGAUUGCGUUAUUCGUGAGGCG